GCUUAACGCGAAGAACCUUACCUGGCCUUGACAUCCCAGGAACCCUGAAGAGAUUUGGGUGGCGCAAGAACCGUAGAGACAGGUGCUGCAUGGCGUGUCGUCAGCUCGUGUCGUGAGAUGUUGGGUUAAGUCCCGCAACGAGCGCAACCCUUCGUCUUACGUUGCCAUCAUUCAGUUGGGUAACGUCUAAGGAGACCGCCGGUGACAAACCGGAAGGAAGGUGGGGAGUGACGUCAAGUCAUCAUGGCCUUUAUGGCCAGGGCUACACACGUGCUACAAUGGCAGGUACAGAGGGAGGCCAACUCGCGAGAGGGAGCCAAUCCCAGAAAGCCUGUCUUAGUCCGGAUUGGAGUCUGCAACUCGACUCCAUGAAGCUGGAAUCGCUAGUAAUCGCAGAUCAGCAUUGCUG
RNAcentral lists this ribosomal RNA (409 nucleotides) under uncultured bacterium. Its description in RNAcentral is "bacterial SSU rRNA". It matches the Rfam family "Bacterial small subunit ribosomal RNA", at positions 954 to 1359 of the family's 1533-position model. The record is from RNAcentral.